Molecule: ribosomal RNA, 898 nt
Filed under: [Candida] boidinii
Lineage: Eukaryota; Fungi; Ascomycota; Pichiomycetes; Pichiales; Pichiaceae
Description: LSU rRNA
Rfam family: Eukaryotic large subunit ribosomal RNA
Source: RNAcentral
CUAGCAUAUCAAUAAGCGGAGGAAAAGAAACCAACAGGGAUUGCCUUAGUAGCGGCGAGUGAAGCGGCAAGAGCUCAAAUUUGAAAUCUGGUACUUUCAGUAUCCGAGUUGUAAUUUGAAGAAAGUUAUCUUGGAGUUGGCCCUUGUCUAUGUUCCUUGGAACAGGACGUCACAGAGGGUGAGAAUCCCGUGCGAUGGGGUGCCCAUUCUAUGUAAGAUACUUUCGACGAGUCGAGUUGUUUGGGAAUGCAGCUCUAAGUGGGUGGUAAAUUCCAUCUAAAGCUAAAUAUUGGCGAGAGACCGAUAGCGAACAAGUACAGUGAUGGAAAGAUGAAAAGAACUUUGAAAAGAGAGUGAAAAAGUACGUGAAAUUGUUGAAAGGGAAGGGUAUUUGAUCAGACUGAUAUUCAGUUAACACUGUUCCUUGUGGAUGGUGCUCUAGCUUUUUAUUGGGCCAGCAUCAGUUUAGGUGGCAGGAUAAGAACUGUUGAACGUGGCUCUUCGGAGUGUUAUAGCUUCAGUUGAUACUGCCUAUCUAGACUGAGGUCUGCGGCUUUGCCUAGGAUGCUGGCGUAAUGGUCUAAUACCGCCCGUCUUGAAACAUGGACCAAGGAGUCUAACGUCUAUGCGAGUGUUUGGGUGUAAAACCCGUACGCGUAAUGAAAGUGAACGUAGGUGAGGGCCUUAGGGUGCAUCAUCGACCGAUCCUGAUGUUUUCGGAUGGAUUUGAGUAAGAGCAUAGCUGUUGGGACCCGAAAGAUGGUGAACUAUGCCUGAAUAGGGUGAAGCCAGAGGAAACUCUGGUGGAGGCUCGUAGCGGUUCUGACGUGCAAAUCGAUCGUCAAAUUUGGGUAUAGGGGCGAAAGACUAAUCGAACCAUCUAGUAGCUGGUUCCUGC